This is a long non-coding RNA of Notothenia coriiceps (black rockcod), 878 nucleotides long. RefSeq lists it as uncharacterized. The record is from RefSeq and is a predicted model, not a curated record. The transcript is spliced from 2 exons. NCBI's taxonomy places the organism in Eukaryota, Metazoa, Chordata, Actinopteri, Perciformes, Nototheniidae.
UUCAAUAAAGUGACAGAACUUAAAGUUCAGCAGUGAAACACUGUUAUUUUACAGGUUUAUCUGCUCUUUUUACAGUCAAUAACCUUUAAUAAAAGUACAGCACUAAUACUUCUACGGGCAAAAACCCCGUAAAAAAACGGUCAAAUGACUGACAGCAGCGGCUGCCAAACAAAAACCAUAAAAUUAAAGUAAAAGUAAAAAUACUUUAACUGAAAUAAAGUGCAAAAGCAAUUAGUAUACAGAAAUUGUCCUUAAAGAUUUUACAGGAAAACACUUUCCUCUCUUUUCAAAAUCCAUUGUCAUCAAAUGUUACAUUCAAAUACCUUAAAUAAAGUUCUGAUGAGAAAAACUGUUUUUUACAUUUUUUUUAUUAUAUUUGUAUGAUCAAACACUAAAAUAAAUACAGAACCUAAAGUUCUACAGCUAGAAUACUGUUAUUUUACAGCUUUUUUCUAACAUUUUCCAAUCAAACAGGUUAAACAAAAUGACAUGGAAAAAUGGAAACAAUUACUCUGAAAACUUAAAAUAUUUGUAGAAUUAUAGCACAACUAAUGAAUACAGCAUUUCAUAUUUAAACAUCAUACUUAUAAACAGUAGAAACAAAAAGUAAGCUGAAUUUUUUUAAGAGUACUUUGAAACAUUCUCAACUGAAAAUAACAGGAAUUACAAAAUGGCGACAUAUGUUCACAUUGUCAAUUUGAAGGAGCAAUGUGCAGGAUUUAGUAAGUCUAACGUUGUAGGUUCCAACCAAUGGAUAACUUGUUCGCUCACCCUCCUAUCCCAAGUUUGUAGGAUAAUGUAUAUUGGCUGCAAAAAACUUGAGGCCCAAUCAUGUUUCCUCUGUCCAUUCUGCGCUACUGUAGACGUGGCAGUGCAAC